Molecule: ribosomal RNA, 253 nt
Filed under: uncultured bacterium
Lineage: Bacteria
Description: partial 16S ribosomal RNA
Rfam family: Bacterial small subunit ribosomal RNA
Source: RNAcentral
UACGUAGGGGGCAAGCGUUGUCCGGAAUCAUUGGGCGUAAAGCGCGUGUAGGCGGCCCGAUAAGUCCGCUGUGAAAGUCCAGGGCUCAACCCUGGGAUGCCGGUGGAUACUGUCGGGCUCGAGUCCGGAAGAGGCGAGUGGAAUUCCUGGUGUAGCGGUGAAAUGCGUGGAUAUCCGGAGGAACACCGAUGGCGAAGGCAGCUGCCUGGCCUGACACUGACGCUGAGGUGCGAAAGCGUGGGGAGCGAACGGG